AGCCUGCUGUGCGGAGCUGGGGGAGGAGGAGGGAGCCCUGGGGGACAGACAGAAGGACCAUCGAAGGAGAAACCCUGCUGGCCUCGGGACCUGGAGGAAAGAACCAGGGCCCGUGCUCCUUGGGCCAGGAUCCGGCGAUUGGACGGAACCUCUCGGAUUCCCCAGUGCUGUGAAAUCCACUUGGGGCCAUCACACCCUUCAUUGCUGUGCUCCCUGGCAGAACUCGAAUGCAGCGUGAGCUGGGCACUUUUCCCAGGGUUUGCUCUAGGUCUGGGUCUCCCAUCAGCUCCCCCGGAGCAGAGCCUGAGGCAAGGAUUCUUGUUCGGGGGCAUCUUCCUCUCAGCACCGUGCUUUGGGAAUCGAGUGAUGGUGCUGAGUGAACCCCUGAGUGAACAUCUGUGGCUUCCUCCCACCUCGUCUCUGGAUGCACUCCUGUUCGAAUGGGUGUCUGUACAUGCUUGUCCCCUCCCCACGGUGGCGUGCUCAAUGGUGGCUCCCCACAGAUAUGUCCGUGUCCUAAUUCCCGGAGCCUUUGGGUCUCAUGUAGCCAAUGAUGUGAAAAAGUGAAGGAUGCUGAGAGGAGAUCAUCCAGAUGUCUUAGAGGAUAAAAAUGAGCGGGCAGAUGAAGAGAUACUCAGGGUGAGGUUUGGAAGGUGCACCAGGCCCACCCCAUGGAUGUGGCUCAGAGAGCC
RNAcentral lists this long non-coding RNA (692 nucleotides) under Homo sapiens (human). RNAcentral describes it as "HSALNT0384003". The record is from RNAcentral. Lineage: Eukaryota; Metazoa; Chordata; Mammalia; Primates; Hominidae.